This 72-nucleotide transfer RNA is filed under the name Akkermansiaceae bacterium. RNAcentral's name for it is "tRNA-Glu". It matches the Rfam family "tRNA". From Rfam's summary of the family: Transfer RNA (tRNA) molecules are approximately 80 nucleotides in length. Their secondary structure includes four short double-helical elements and three loops (D, anti-codon, and T loops). Further hydrogen bonds mediate the characteristic L-shaped molecular structure. tRNAs have two regions of fundamental functional importance: the anti-codon, which is responsible for specific mRNA codon recognition, and the 3' end, to which the tRNAs corresponding amino acid is attached (by aminoacyl-tRNA synthetases). tRNAs cope with the degeneracy of the genetic code in two manners: having more than one tRNA (with a specific anti-codon) for a particular amino acid; and 'wobble' base-pairing, i.e. permitting non-standard base-pairing at the 3rd anti-codon position. The record is from RNAcentral. Lineage: Bacteria; Pseudomonadati; Verrucomicrobiota; Verrucomicrobiia; Verrucomicrobiales; Akkermansiaceae.
GCUCUCGUAGUGUAAAGGUUAACACCUUCGACUUUCUAUCGAAUGAUCCGGGUUCGAUUCCCGGCGGGAGUA